Molecule: long non-coding RNA, 494 nt
Filed under: Heterocephalus glaber (naked mole-rat)
Lineage: Eukaryota; Metazoa; Chordata; Mammalia; Rodentia; Bathyergidae
Description: lncRNA (ENSHGLG00100044575.1)
Source: RNAcentral
CCACUUUCAGCCAUUGUGCUGAAACCCUGCCUUUGGAUAUGGUAGAUCCUGAAAAUCUGGGCAGGAAUGAGGUUCCUCCACGCAUAGCACCUCCCUUUCAUUCAGCCGGAUCUCCCAUUAGAAGCACAGGGCCCAGCAUGGAACUGGUUUACAGAGAAGCAUUUGCCUUGUUGCUGUUUGGAACGCUCCUGUAGUCUUCUGGAAAAUCAUGACCUUCAUUGUGUUCUUGAACCACUGAUCUUGAGAAGAGCUGGAGAAGAUGCAUAUUGAAGUAACUGUAGAGAAAUGAUGUCUGGAAUUUUCUUUGAAAUAAUUCAAGGGAAUGAAAGGGAUGUAGAAAAGUCAAAAGUGGCCACAGGCUCACCAGAUAGAGGACCCAGUGGAAGACUCCAUAACUACAGACAAUGGGGAGCCACUAGAUGGAAGGAACCUGGGUCCUUGAAUAAACUAUAUGGAGCAGAGAAACCAUCCUACCCCACAGCUGCACUGGACAG